This is a long non-coding RNA of Protobothrops mucrosquamatus (brown spotted pit viper), 468 nucleotides long. RefSeq lists it as uncharacterized. The record is from RefSeq and is a predicted model, not a curated record. The transcript has 3 exons. Lineage: Eukaryota; Metazoa; Chordata; Lepidosauria; Squamata; Viperidae.
CAAACUAACAUGGAUAUGGUCCUCUGAAAGUGGGUUAUGAAUUAGCUUGUUCUUCUGAUGUAGGAGCCUUUCACAGAGGAGAUUUCAGCAGAGCUCCGGGGCAGAGGAGAUCUAUUCCGCUCUAUUCAGGAGCUGUUUUUCUGGAGGAUCCAACUCUGGCCACCUUGCCAGAGCUCUGAUUCCUUUAAGGGGAUGACUGUGGACUUCACAGAUGAGGAGUGGAGGCUGCUAGAUUCUGGCCAGAAGGCCUUGUGCAGAGAAGUCAUGCAGGAGGUUUCUAUCAAUAUGGCUGCUUUGGAUGAUGUGUGUGUGAAUGAGAACGACAACGAGGCAAGGUUAAAUGUACUCAAAAUAAAGAAGAAUAAAAUAAAAGUAAUGCAAAGGAGAAAACAGCCAGAAAAUGGAGGGGAGAAAUCAUCCACUUCUCUUGGUAUUCGUGUCUUCCUAUCCCAGCAAGAUCAGAAAGAA